RNAcentral lists this transfer RNA (60 nucleotides) under Gammarus pisinnus. RNAcentral describes it as "tRNA-His". The record is from RNAcentral. Lineage: Eukaryota; Metazoa; Arthropoda; Malacostraca; Amphipoda; Gammaridae.
ACCGAAGUAGUUUUUAAAAAUACUACAUUGUGGCUGUAGAGAUGUGUAACACCUUAGGUA